RNAcentral lists this ribosomal RNA (247 nucleotides) under uncultured bacterium. RNAcentral's name for it is "partial 16S ribosomal RNA". It matches the Rfam family "Bacterial small subunit ribosomal RNA", at positions 796 to 1041 of the family's 1533-position model. The record is from RNAcentral.
CACGCCGUAAACUAUGGAUGCUAGCUGUACACCGUAUCGACCCGGUGUGUAGCGAAGCUAACGCGUUAAGCAUCCCGCCUGUGGAGUACGAGCGCAAGCUUAAAACAUAAAGGAAUUGACGGGGACCCGCACAAGCGGUGGAGCGUGUUGUUUAAUUCGAUGGUAAGCGAAGAACCUUACCAAGGCUUGAAAUCCUGAGAAGCACUGCGAAAGCAGAGUGUGCCUUCGGGAACUCAGUGACAGGUGU